Molecule: ribosomal RNA, 255 nt
Filed under: uncultured bacterium
Lineage: Bacteria
Description: partial 16S ribosomal RNA
Rfam family: Bacterial small subunit ribosomal RNA
Source: RNAcentral
GAAGGGGGGGCAAGUGUUCUUCGGAAUGACUAGGCAUAAAGGGCACGUAGGCGGUGAAUCGGGUUGAAAAGUGAAAGUUGCCAAAAAAGUGGCGGAAUGCUCUCAAAAACCAAUUCACUUGAGUGAGACAGAGGAGAGUGGAAUUUCAUGUGUAGGGGUGAAAUCCGUAGAUCUAUGAAGGAACGCCAAAAAGCGAAGGCAGCUCUCUGGGUCCCUACCGACACUGGGGUGCGAAAGCAUGGGGGAGCGAACAGG